RNAcentral lists this long non-coding RNA (311 nucleotides) under Lathyrus oleraceus (garden pea). RNAcentral's name for it is "Pisum sativum (pea) long non-coding RNA (PSAT_LNC041735)". Lineage: Eukaryota; Viridiplantae; Streptophyta; Magnoliopsida; Fabales; Fabaceae. The record is from RNAcentral.
AUCAAUAAAAAUAAAACAACAGUGUGUAGUACUCUAAUUGUUCUUUUUUCAAACUUAACAAGUGGCAAUGUAAAAAGUUGAGAAGUAACUACAUUACUAAUGGAAAGAAAUACAUGACGAGGGACAUAAUGAGGCGGAAGAAAAAAAUGGCUAAUAAAAAUGGUGUUGUGUUUAAGGAGUGAGAGAGAAGAGAGUAUCAGGAAUUCAUAAAUGAUUUAUUGUGAUAAACCUAUUUCACAAAUUAUGCUAUUUAAUAUUUUAUAAAUCAUGGUAAUCAUCAUCUUAUAAUACUAUAUGAGUUUUAAGCAUUG